This is a long non-coding RNA of Suricata suricatta (meerkat), 478 nucleotides long. RefSeq lists it as uncharacterized. The record is from RefSeq and is a predicted model, not a curated record. The transcript is spliced from 3 exons. Lineage: Eukaryota; Metazoa; Chordata; Mammalia; Carnivora; Herpestidae.
GUCAUAAAGACUUUAAAGAUGAUCCUUAGAAAGGCCUACUUGGCAAGGAAAUGAGGCAUUUAUCCAAAGCCAUGAAUAGAAGGGAACUUCCUCAGCAUGACAAGACAUCUAUGGGAAACCCACAGACAAUAUCGUACUCAAUGGUGAAAGACUGAAAGCUUUCCACAAAGGACCUGGAGCAAAAUGAUGCCACUCUCACCACUUCUAUUCAAUACUGUACUAGAUGUUUCAACCACAAUAAUUUGAAAUGGAAAACCUGAUCCUAAUCAUAUGAAUUGCAAGACACCCUGAAUAGUCAAAACAAAACAGAAAAGGUGAACAAUUUAUACUUUCUAAUUUGGAAACUUACCACAAGGCUAUGUAAUUGAAACAGCAGGAUAGUACUGACAUAAGAAUAAACGUAUAGAUCAAAUCAAAGAGUCCAGAAAUAAAGUCAUACAUCUAUGAUCCAUCAAUUUUUAACAAGGGCGCCAUGACA